Molecule: long non-coding RNA, 1046 nt
Organism: Zingiber officinale
Lineage: Eukaryota; Viridiplantae; Streptophyta; Magnoliopsida; Zingiberales; Zingiberaceae
Exons: 3
Source: RefSeq, a predicted model, not a curated record
UCUGCAUGCCAACCCCUCGCCGUUUCCUUCCCCGAUCUCUUCGACUUCUCCACCCGACGGCAUGCCUCUUUCUCGCUUUCUCCCUCGCACAUAAACAGUAGCCAAGAGAGAACCAACUCUUCUUCUCUUGAGCUUUUCCUUCUUCCCGAACCAGCCACCACCCCCUCCAUUGCGAUCUCGACUCACCAACCGUGAGAAGUAGUUGCCCAACUCCGGUCGCUAACGUUGGUUCAUCGUCGCCUUCUCGUGGGAGUCAGCGGGCAACGUUGUGGUGUCAACCUCGAUUCCAAUUUCACCGGUGUCGAACAAACCACCGCCGGACAAGCUUUUCCCCUAUUCUCCACCGGUUUCUCCAGAUCCAUCCAGUCCCCUUAUCCCUAAGCCGUCGGCUCUGCGCGGGCUGGCCUUCGUGAAAGAAUAGGGGAAUCCGAGCCCUAGAUUUGAUUUACCGGACCUCCCUUCCCUCGGUGCUGCCGUCGACUACCUUGGUCGACGCCUGAUCGCCACUAAGUAUCCUUUGAGGGAUAACUCGUCGACACCCACUAUUGAUCUAGAUGACGGUGGCCGAUCUACAGUUGACGCUGCCCUUUUGUUGUGAGCAGCCAACUUCGACAUCUCACUCUGUCCGUUGUUUUCCACGAGCCAUCAAAAUUUGAGCAGCAUCUCCUAGUCCCGACCACUAUAUCCCCACAGCACGCGUCUCCGGCAGUGACUCAACAGUCGGGUAUAUGGAUUUGGGUUGAAGCCGUCAGGAGUUCCAGUCGCUAGCCCCCCUCCAGAUCGCAAGGAUUUUCAUUUAGUCUUUUGUUUUUCCUAUUAUACUAUCUAGUCUAUGUUUCAGACUUCUAUUGGUUUUGCACCAUGGAUUUUGUUUAGUCUUUUUUGUUUGUCGACGGGAUUUAUUCGAUAUGUUCUGCUAUGUGCCUGCCCGGACGGUAGAAGAGGUAAGUUGGAUGUUUGUUUAUGGUUUUCGUAUUGUGUUGAUAGCCGGAGGCUGAUAUAUAUGUAUAUAUUGUAUGGUUGUUGAUUUAUGUUUAUUGUUAUUG